RNAcentral lists this ribosomal RNA (403 nucleotides) under uncultured Eubacteriales bacterium. RNAcentral's name for it is "bacterial SSU rRNA". It matches the Rfam family "Bacterial small subunit ribosomal RNA", at positions 356 to 774 of the family's 1533-position model. Lineage: Bacteria; Bacillati; Bacillota; Clostridia; Eubacteriales. The record is from RNAcentral.
GGGGAAUAUUGCACAAUGGGCGCAAGCCUGAUGCAGCGACGCCGCGUGAGCGAAGAAGGUUUUCGGAUCGUAAAGCUCUGUCCUCUGGGAAGAAAAAAUGACGGUACCAGAGGAGGAAGCCCAGGCUAACUACGUGCCAGCAGCCGCGGUAAUACGUAGGGGGCUAGCGUUGUCCGGAUUUACUGGGCGUAAAGGGUGAGUAGGCGGUAAUGUGUGUCAGAUGUUUAAUCUAUGAGGCUCAACUCAUAUCAGCAUUUGAAACUACAUAACUUGAGUGCAGGAGAGGUAAGUGGAAUUCCUAGUGUAGCGGUGGAAUGCGUAGAUAUUAGGAGGAACACCGGUGGCGAAGGCGACUUACUGGACUGUAACUGACGCUGAGACACGAAAGCGUGGGGAGCGAACA